GACGAACGCUGGCGGCGUGCUUAACACAUGCAAGUCGAACGGAAAGGCCCUGCUUUUGUGGGGUGCUCGAGUGGCGAACGGGUGAGUAACACGUGAGUAACCUGCCCUUGACUUUGGGAUAACUUCAGGAAACUGGGGCUAAUACCGGAUAGGAGCUCCUGCUGCAUGGUGGGGGUUGGAAAGUUUCGGCGGUUGGGGAUGGACUCGCGGCUUAUCAGCUUGUUGGUGGGGUAGUGGCUUACCAAGGCUUUGACGGGUAGCCGGCCUGAGAGGGUGACCGGCGACAUUGGGACUGAGAUACGGCCCAGACUCCUACGGGAGGCAGCAGUGGGGAAUAUUGCACAGUGGGCGGAAGCCUGAUGCAGCAGCGCCGCGUGCGGGAUGACGGCCUUCGGGGUGUAAACCGCUUUCGCCUGUGACGAAGCGUGAGUGACGGUAAUGGGUAAAGAAGCACCGGCUAACUACGUG
Molecule: ribosomal RNA, 468 nt
Filed under: uncultured bacterium
Lineage: Bacteria
Description: partial 16S ribosomal RNA
Rfam family: Bacterial small subunit ribosomal RNA
Source: RNAcentral